AAAACGGAUGACGACUGAAAGCUGCGUGAAUCAAGUGCAGUUUUAUUUUUGUUGCAAUGUUGUUGACUCAGAUCAAAGUGGUAUGUGUUGUCCUGUGCCUCAUUGGCUUCAGGGAGCCCUGGAAUACCUCAGAUGUUACAGCGGUUCUGCACGGAGGACUCGCACAUCAAGGCUUUAUCAGAUCUGUAAAUGAUGCUAACCUGAUGUUUGAGUUCUUAUGGAGAGGACUGGAGAUUGAUGCCGACAAUAAUGUUGUCAUGCGGGAUCAAGAAAUUGCAUCGAUGCGACAAGGGCGAGCUUUCUUAUCUCUUAUAAAUGACAGUAUCCCAAAGACUGUCUCUGCAAUGGAGAAGUUACUGGCUAUGCUGGAAGAGCAAGACAACUCUUUCACUCAGACCCGUUUUGAGACCCUCCUCCUUGGGACUAUCUAUUCAGCCUACCAGGCACAAAACCAGAGGCUAGAGUCGGAGCAGCAGGCCUGGAUUGAUAUUCUUGGUCGUUUUGCAAAUGUUACUUUCGUUCAGCUACGCAAGUCUUAACUAACAAUAAACAUACCAGUGCUUCACAAGUUCACACGUACAGAAAAUCAGAUAAAGAGUGUGCAUAUUUGGCGUGCUGUCCAAGGGGAGGGCUCACCCAUAUCCUAGACUGGGAUAGGAAAAGUCGAGUGAGGAGUUGGGGUGGUGAAGGGAUGCUGGAAACUGUUGAGGGA
This 712-nucleotide long non-coding RNA is filed under the name Sinocyclocheilus grahami. Its description in RNAcentral is "lncRNA (ENSSGRG00000051619.1)". Lineage: Eukaryota; Metazoa; Chordata; Actinopteri; Cypriniformes; Cyprinidae. The record is from RNAcentral.